CCAGUGACUUAGUCGUUAAACGGCCGCGGUAUCUUGACCGUGCAAAGGUAGCAUAAUCACUUGUUCUCUAAAUAAGGACUUGUAUGAAUGGCCACACGAGGGUUUUACUGUCUCUUACUUUUAAUCAGUGAAAUUGACCUCCCCGUGAAGAGGCGGGGAUAAUAAAAUAAGACGAGAAGACCCUAUGGAGCUUUAAUUAAUCAACUCAAAAAAAUCGCAAAACAGUACCACUAAGGGAUAACAAAAUUUUAUAUGAGUUGACAAUUCGGUUGGGGUGACCUCGGAGUAUAAAAAACCCUCCGAGUGAUUAAAACCUAGGCCUACUAGCCAAAGUGUAACAUCACUUAUUGAUCCAAAUUUUUGAUCAACGGAACAAGUUACCCUAGGGAUAACAGCGCAAUCCUAUUCUAGAGUCCGUAUCGACAAUAGGGUUUACGACCUCGAUGUUGGAUCAGGACAUCCUGAUGGUGCAGCAGC
RNAcentral lists this ribosomal RNA (477 nucleotides) under Phocoena phocoena (harbor porpoise). RNAcentral describes it as "partial 16S ribosomal RNA". It matches the Rfam family "Bacterial large subunit ribosomal RNA", at positions 1905 to 2562 of the family's 2925-position model. Lineage: Eukaryota; Metazoa; Chordata; Mammalia; Artiodactyla; Phocoenidae. The record is from RNAcentral.